This 176-nucleotide unclassified non-coding RNA is filed under the name Spinocalanidae sp. 2012JH194. RNAcentral's name for it is "partial ITS2". Lineage: Eukaryota; Metazoa; Arthropoda; Copepoda; Calanoida; Spinocalanidae. The record is from RNAcentral.
GGCGCCUGCUCUUGGACCCCGCCUGUCGGGCUGAGCGCACCGCCUGAAGGUCUACCGUGCGGAGUUUGCUCGCCUCAACUCUUGGACCUCACCGUCUGGGUUGGCCGGGCAGGCUGCACGCUAGAGCACACCGCACACUUAUUUCUUCGCGGUGCGAGCCACACACUUAUUUCUUC